UACAGAGGGUGCGAGCGUUGUUCGGAAUUAUUGGGCGUAAAGCGCGUGUAGGCGGCUUUGCAAGUCGGGUGUGAAAGCCCUCAGCUCAACUGAGGAAGUGCGCCCGAAACUGCGAGGCUUGAGUACCGGAGAGGAUGGCGGAAUUCCCCAAGUAGAGGUGAAAUUCGUAGAUAUGGGGAGGAACACCGGUGGCGAAGGCGGCCAUCUGGACGGAUACUGACGCUGAGACGCGAAAGCGUGGGUAGCAAACAGG
This 253-nucleotide ribosomal RNA is filed under the name uncultured bacterium. RNAcentral describes it as "partial 16S ribosomal RNA". It matches the Rfam family "Bacterial small subunit ribosomal RNA", at positions 524 to 776 of the family's 1533-position model. The record is from RNAcentral.